RNAcentral lists this ribosomal RNA (402 nucleotides) under uncultured bacterium. Its description in RNAcentral is "bacterial SSU rRNA". It matches the Rfam family "Bacterial small subunit ribosomal RNA", at positions 355 to 774 of the family's 1533-position model. The record is from RNAcentral.
UGGGGAAUAUUGGACAAUGGGCGCAAGCCUGAUCCAGCCAUGCCGCGUGGAUGAUGAAGGCCCUAGGGUUGUAAAGUCCUUUCGGCGGGGAAGAUAAUGACGGUACCCGCAGAAGAAGCCCCGGCUAACUUCGUGCCAGCAGCCGCGGUAAUACGAAGGGGGCUAGCGUUGCUCGGAAUCACUGGGCGUAAAGCGCACGUAGGCGGCUUUCUAAGUCGGUGGUGAAAUCCUGGAGCUCAACUCCAGAACUGCCUCCGAUACUGGAGAGCUCGAGUCCGGGAGAGGUGAGUGGAACUGCGAGUGUAGAGGUAAAAUUCGUAGAUAUUCGCAAGAACACCAGUGGCGAAGGCGGCUCACUGGCCCGGUACUGACGCUGAGGUGCGAAAGCGUGGGGAGCAAACA